CCCUUAGAUGUUCUGGGCAGCACGCGCGCUACAAUGGUCUUCGCAAACGGAUGCAUUCUCGAAGGAGAAUGCCAAUCUUGGAAUCUAUGCCUUGGUCGGGACAGUUGCUUGCAUUUUUUCGACUCGAACCAGGAAUUCCUUGUAAUCGUGAUUCAUCACAUCACGAUGAAUACGUCCCUGCCCUUUGUACACACCGCCCGUCGCUCCUACCGAUCGAAGAGUUAGGUGAAUUGUUUUGAUCGAUAAGAUUUGACUAUGGUCAACUCUCGUUGUGAAAUUCUGUGAAUCUGACUGUUUAGAGGAAGGAAAAGUCGUAACA
This 319-nucleotide ribosomal RNA is filed under the name uncultured eukaryote. RNAcentral describes it as "partial 18S ribosomal RNA". It matches the Rfam family "Eukaryotic small subunit ribosomal RNA", at positions 1470 to 1796 of the family's 1831-position model. The record is from RNAcentral.